RNAcentral lists this ribosomal RNA (467 nucleotides) under uncultured bacterium. Its description in RNAcentral is "partial 16S ribosomal RNA". It matches the Rfam family "Bacterial small subunit ribosomal RNA", at positions 28 to 507 of the family's 1533-position model. The record is from RNAcentral.
GACGAACGCUGGCGGCGUGCUUAACACAUGCAAGUCGAACGGAAAGGCCCUGCUUUUGUGGGGUGCUCGAGUGGCGAACGGGUGAGUAACACGUGAGUAACCUGCCCUUGACUUUGGGAUAACUUCAGGAAACUGGGGCUAAUACCGGAUAGGAGCUCCUGCUGCAUGGUGGGGGUUGGACAGUUUCGGCGGUUGGGGAUGGACUCGCGGCUUAUCAGCUUGUUGUGGGGUAGUGGCUUACCAAGGCUUUGACGGGUAGCCGGCCUGAGAGGGUGACCGGCCACAUUGGGACUGAGAUACGGCCCAGACUCCUACGGGAGGCAGCAGUGGGGAAUAUUGCACAAUGGGCGGAAGCCUGAUGCAGCAACGCCGCGUGCGGGAUGACGGCCUUCGGGUUGUAAACCGCUUUCGCCUGUGACGAAGCGUGAGUGACGGUAAUGGGUAAAGAAGCACCGGCUAACUACGUG